UGCAGGAACGAUGCAUGGGCUCCC
This 24-nucleotide non-coding RNA is filed under the name Mus musculus (house mouse). The record is from RNAcentral. Lineage: Eukaryota; Metazoa; Chordata; Mammalia; Rodentia; Muridae.